This 355-nucleotide ribosomal RNA is filed under the name uncultured bacterium. RNAcentral's name for it is "bacterial SSU rRNA". It matches the Rfam family "Bacterial small subunit ribosomal RNA", at positions 30 to 391 of the family's 1533-position model. The record is from RNAcentral.
AUUGAACGCUGGCGGUAUGCUUAACACAUGCAAGUCGAACGGUAACAGGCCUUCGGGCGCUGACGAGUGGCGGACGGUGAGUAACGCGUAGGAAUCUGCCUCAUAGUGGGGACAACGUGGGGAAACUCACGCUAAUACCGCAUACGCCUACGGGGAAAACGGGGGAUCUUCGGACCUCGCGCUAUGAGAUGAGCCUGCGUUAGAUUAGCUAGUUGGUAGGGUAAAGGCCUACCAAGGCGACGAUCUAUAGCUGGUCUGAGAGGACGAUCAGCCACACUGGGACUGAGACACGGCCCAGACUCCUACGGGAGGCAGCAGUGGGGAAUAUUGGACAAUGGGCGCAAGCCUGAUCCAG